GUGAGUCAUCGAAUCUUUGAACGCACCUUGCACUCCGUGGCUUUCCACGGAGUACGCCCGUUCGAGUGUCACGUUAACUCUCGCCAAGGGUAAAUCUUACCUGAAAGCGGAUUUGGACGUUGCCGGCGCGUGAGCCCGGCUCGUCUCGAAAUGCAUUAGCGGUGUGCGAUGCGCGCGCGGUGUUGAUAAUUGUCUACGCCUAGCUCGUCUCCCACGUCGCUUCCAAUCGUCGUGAAGACAACUACAUCCAGUUUGACCUCGAAUCGGGCGGGACUACCCGCUGAACUUAAGCAUAUCAAUAAGCGGAGGA
Molecule: unclassified non-coding RNA, 310 nt
Filed under: Auriculariales sp.
Lineage: Eukaryota; Fungi; Basidiomycota; Agaricomycetes; Auriculariales
Description: partial contains 5.8S ribosomal RNA, internal transcribed spacer 2, and large subunit ribosomal RNA
Rfam family: 5.8S ribosomal RNA (bases 1-71)
Source: RNAcentral